RNAcentral lists this long non-coding RNA (430 nucleotides) under Nicotiana benthamiana. Its description in RNAcentral is "long non-coding RNA (NBEN_LNC004478)". Lineage: Eukaryota; Viridiplantae; Streptophyta; Magnoliopsida; Solanales; Solanaceae. The record is from RNAcentral.
AAGAAUGGACAAUUGUGCAUAGAGCACAUAAGUACAAACUCCAUGAUUGCGGAUCCGCUCACUAAGGGAUUGACAUCAAAAGUAUUUCAUGAGCAUAUUGCUUGCAUGGGUGUCAAAUCAGUUAAGGAUUAUGAAUUUUAGUGGGAGUUUGUAUUAUAAAACUAUGUAUUGGGCAUAUUGCUUGUAUGGGUGUCAAAUCAGAUAAGGAUUAUGUAUUUUAGUGGGAAUUUGUAUUGUACAAUUAUGUAUUGUCCAUUAUAUUCUGAAAUUCAGUAAUUCAGUUAUAUCUGCAGAUAUUCAGUUUUAAAGUUUUUGUACUCUUACCGUUUAUGAUUGAUCUCAAUAAAGAGAACCAGUUGGAAAUAGACAUUCUAUUGACCACACUUUAUGUUAUUUCCAUGCUACAUACCUACACUUGAUCCAUGNNNNN